This 699-nucleotide unclassified non-coding RNA is filed under the name Hevea brasiliensis (rubber tree). Lineage: Eukaryota; Viridiplantae; Streptophyta; Magnoliopsida; Malpighiales; Euphorbiaceae. The record is from RNAcentral.
AAAAUAAAAUAAAAUAAAAUAAGACAAAAAGAGAUUAUUUUGGAUCAGAUUGGCCUACAUGGAUGGAGUUUCAACAAUGGUCUCCAAAGCAGGCUUCCAUGAUCCUUGCUUGGAGUAUCUCUCCACGAGCUUUGGCUGAUCAUCAUCAUCUUCAAUAUCAUCAGUGCAGGAGGUUGAACUUGAAGCAAUAUGAUCAAUUGUCUUGAUCUCUGAAGCCGUUGGAAAAAUGCAAAACUCACUAAGAACUGGGAAAAUCUUGGCCAAAUUAUUGUUCUUGAAAGCUUUGGUUGCUCUGCAGGAGAGAGAAGCCAUUUCCUCUUGUGUAAGAACUGAGUAGAGCAAGUCCAUAGGAAGAACAAAGUAGAGUUGGCGUCUCUCUAGCUCUUCAUCAGCUGAUAGGCCAUAAAUUCUUUGCCCAAUUUUGAGACUGUUGAAAUCACAGAUAAAUUUUCCAGGGUUUUCAAGCAUGAGCUCUGCUGCUUUUACUUGCUUUGUGUAGAUUUGCAAGGAACCAUUGGACAGCAGGACCUUUACAACUCCAUUGGAGAUGAUUGAAGGAGCACAAGAAGCUGCAUUACCCAUGAAUGUUGAGAGAAAGAGAGAGAUAUGGUUGAUGGAGUUUGUGGCAAUCAUGGAUUAUUUUUAAGUUGGAGAUGAGAUGGUAGUUAAGAAAAAGACAGAGAGAGGGUCCAUUUCUAA